GAUGAACGCUAGCUACAGGCUUAACACAUGCAAGUCGAGGGGAAACGACAUCGAAAGCUUGCUUUUGAUGGGCGUCGACCGGCGCACGGGUGAGUAACGCGUAUCCAACCUGCCCACCACUUGGGGAUAACCUUGCGAAAGUAAGACUAAUACCCAAUGAUAUCUCUAGAAGACAUCUGAAAGAGAUUAAAGAUUUAUCGGUGAUGGAUGGGGAUGCGUCUGAUUAGCUUGUUGGCGGGGUAACGGCCCACCAAGGCGACGAUCAGUAGGGGUUCUGAGAGGAAGGUCCCCCACAUUGGAACUGAGACACGGUCCAAACUCCUACGGGAGGCAGCAGUGAGGAAUAUUGGUCAAUGGACGAGAGUCUGAACCAGCCAAGUAGCGUGCAGGAAGACGGCCCUAUGGGUUGUAAACUGCAUUUAUAAGGGAAUAAAGUUAGUCUCGUGAGACUUUUUGCAUGUACCUUAUGAAUAAGGACCGGCUAAUUCCGUGCCAGCAGCCGCGGUAAUACGGAAGGUCCGGGCGUUAUCCGGAUUUAUUGGGUUUAAAGGGAGCGUAGGCCGGAGAUUAAGCGUGUUGUGAAAUGUAGACGCUCAACGUCUGCACUGCAGCGCGAACUGGUUUCCUUGAGUACGCACAAAGUGGGCGGAAUUCGUGGUGUAGCGGUGAAAUGCUUAGAUAUCACGAAGAACUCCGAUUGCGAAGGCAGCUCACUGGAGCGCAACUGACGCUGAAGCUCGAAAGUGCGGGUAUCGAACAGGAUUAGAUACCCUGGUAGUCCGCACGGUAA
RNAcentral lists this ribosomal RNA (790 nucleotides) under uncultured bacterium. Its description in RNAcentral is "bacterial SSU rRNA". It matches the Rfam family "Bacterial small subunit ribosomal RNA", at positions 28 to 805 of the family's 1533-position model. The record is from RNAcentral.